RNAcentral lists this long non-coding RNA (1643 nucleotides) under Triticum aestivum (bread wheat). Its description in RNAcentral is "long non-coding RNA (TAES_LNC016860)". The record is from RNAcentral. Lineage: Eukaryota; Viridiplantae; Streptophyta; Magnoliopsida; Poales; Poaceae.
CUUUACACAACCCAUGUAAUCAUAAGGGAAAGAGAUACAUAGUUGGCUUACAAUCGCCACUUCACACAAUUACAUGAAUAAAGCAUUACAUCAUCCAGAUACAAUCAAGGUCCGACUACGGAACCAAAAUAAAAGAAGAACCCCAAAUGCGACAAAGGUCCCCGAUCAACCCCAACUGGGCUCCACUACUGAUCAACUAGAACGAAACAACACAAAGGGCAAGAUCUUCAUCGAGCUCCUCCUUGAGCUUGGUUGCGUCACCUGCUCGGUAACAUAGGCACCUGCAAACUGGUUUUGGAAGUAUCUGGUGAGCCACGAGGACUCAGCAAUCCCAUUACCAUGGGUAUCAAGACUAGCAAAGCUUAAUGGGAAAGGAAGGGGUAAAGUGGUGAGGUUGCAGCAGCGGCUAAGCAUAUAUGGUGGCUAACAUACGCAAAUGAGAGCGAGAAGAGAAACAAAGGAACGGUCGUGAAGCUAGCAAUGAUCAAGAGGUGAUCCUAAACACCUACCUACGUCAAACAUAACACAGAAACCGUGUUCACUUCCCGGACUCCGCCGAGAAGAGACCAUCACGGCUACACACGCGGUUGAUGCGUUUUAAUUCGGAUCUGGUGUCAAGUUAUCUACAACCGGACAUUAACAAAUUCCCAUCUGCCACAUAACCGCGGGCACGGCUCUCGAAAGUUUAUAUCCUGCAGGGGUGUCCCAACUUAGCCCAUGACAAGCUCUCGCGAUCAACGAAGGAAUAGACCUUCUCCUAGGAAGACCCGAUCAGUCUCGGAAUCCCGGUUUACAAGACAUUUCGACAAUGGUAAAACAAGACCAGCAAAGCCUCCCGCUGUGCCGACAAAUCCCGAUAGGAGCUGCACAUAUCUCGUUCUCAGGGUACACCGGAUGAGCAAGACGUCGGGUUGGCAUAGACCAUGGUUGCCCAGGGGGCGCCGGACAUUGCUCGGUUCGGACCAGCACUUAGACAAGCACUGGCCCGGGGGGGCUAAAAUAAAGAUGACCCUCGGGUUGGCCGACCCAAGGGAAAGGGAUAGGUGGUGGUGAGGCAAAUGGUAAAACCAAGGUUGGGCCUUGCUGGACAAGUUUUAUUCAAAGCGAACUGUCAGGGGGGUCCCAUAAAUCACCCGACCGCAUUAGGAACGCAAAAUCCGGGAACAUAACACCGGUAUGACGGAAACUAGGGCGGCAAGAGUGGAACAAAACACCAGGCAUAAGGCCGAGCCUUCCACCCUUUACCAAAUAUAUAGAUGCAUUAAUAAUAUAAGAGAUAUUGUGAUAUCCCAACAUAACCCUAUUCACCAUGGAGCAAUCUUCAACUUCACCUGCGACUAGCAAUGCUAUAAGAGGGGCUGAGCAAAGCGGUAACAUAGCCAAACAACGGUUUGCUAGGAAGGGUGUCAAAAGGUUAGAGGUUCAUGGCAAUUUGGGAGGCUUGAGCAACAAGAGAUAGGUAGCAUGGCAAAGCGAUAGAACGACGCAACUAGCAUAGCAAUGAUAGUAGUGAGAUCCAGGGUAGCGGUCAUCUUGCCUGAAAUCCCGCUAGGAAGAAGAACGAGUCCAUGAAGAAGACGGACGGGAGUAGUCGAACGAAUCCUCACAAUCGCAACAUUACCGGAACUAAGAAGCAACACCGG